CGAAAAACAGUGAAGGAAAUAAGUAAGCAAUUACCCAUAAUUAGAGAGGCAUACUCCAGGCUGAGAAGUAUGCUAUGGACAGGGUUGCUGAAAGCUAUUCCUGAGUGCGGUUAAUCCCCGCCGGAGUCGCGCCUCGUUAUUGGCGUCUGAGGUGAUAGACAGUUUAAUGUCUAUAAUCAGGGUGGUACCGCGGAUUUAAACUCCCGUCCCUGCC
This 214-nucleotide non-coding RNA is filed under the name Halobacillus halophilus. Its description in RNAcentral is "T-box sequence". It matches the Rfam family "T-box leader". Rfam says of the family: Uncharged tRNA acts as the effector for transcription antitermination of genes in the T-box leader family. T-boxes are found upstream of many aminoacyl-tRNA synthetase genes and some amino acid biosynthetic genes usually in Gram-positive bacteria. The anticodon of a specific tRNA base pairs to a specifier sequence within the T-box motif, and the NCCA acceptor tail of the tRNA base pairs to a conserved bulge in the T-box antiterminator hairpin. The record is from RNAcentral. Lineage: Bacteria; Bacillati; Bacillota; Bacilli; Caryophanales; Bacillaceae.